RNAcentral lists this ribosomal RNA (255 nucleotides) under uncultured bacterium. RNAcentral's name for it is "partial 16S ribosomal RNA". It matches the Rfam family "Bacterial small subunit ribosomal RNA", at positions 524 to 776 of the family's 1533-position model. The record is from RNAcentral.
UACGUAGGGGGCUAGGCGUUGUCCGGAAUCAUUGGGCGUAAAGCGCGUGUAGGCGGUCCGGUAAGUCCGCUGUGAAAGUCGGGGGGCUCAACCCUCGGAUGCCGGUGGAUACUGUCGGGCUUGAGUACGGAAGAGGCGAGUGGAAUUCCCGGUGUAGCGGUGAAAUGCGCAGAUAUCGGGAGGAACACCAAUGGCGAAGGCAGCUCGCUGGGACGGUACUGACGCUGAGGCGCGAAAGCGUGGGGAGCAAACAGG